AACUUGGCAUUGUGGCACUGCAGUGGAGGGUGGAAUUUUUUGUCUCUCUGAAGCGAGGGCUUAAGGAAUAAUGAAAACUUCUGCUCAUACUUCUCAUGAAUGCUUUUUAUUUUCAAGGUCAACCAAAUGUUUUUUUAGGAAAGACUAAUGCACUUUUCUUCAAGCGAUACACCGUAAAAUGUUUCUUCCAGAUUAUCCUGUCUGUACAUGGGGGACGACUAGCUCUGGACAUUUUUAUUCUCUGCUUGCUGCUGCAAAUGAGCCAGGUCCUGGUGCCAGACACCCCUGCCCCAUGUGCUCAGUCCAUCCGCGCUUCCUGAGGUGGCAGAGGAGCAGGAG
This 339-nucleotide long non-coding RNA is filed under the name Fukomys damarensis (Damara mole-rat). Its description in RNAcentral is "lncRNA (ENSFDAG00000027609.1)". Lineage: Eukaryota; Metazoa; Chordata; Mammalia; Rodentia; Bathyergidae. The record is from RNAcentral.